GCAACCUAGAGAGAUAAAGAAACGUAGCUUGAGUAUCAGCCUUUCUUUUCUUUAUCAAUUCCUAUAUUUUGCAACCUAGAGAGAUAAAGAAACGUAGCUUAAGGAAAGUAUCAGCCUUUCUUUUCUUUAACAGCAGAUAUUGAGAUUUUGCCAAAAAAAAAAAAAGAAAUCCAUUCAUUUUGGUUAUUCCCUUCCUCUAUUUUGCGACCUAAAGAGGGAAGUGCCUACCUUUUAUAUGGGUGCAUAUUGAAAUUUUGUAAAAAAAAAAAAAAACUAUUUAUUUUGGUUAUCCUCUUCCUAUAUAUUUUGCAAUGCAAAGAAACGUAGCCUGGGGAAAUGGUAGCCUUUUCUUUGAGGGUUAUUGACCCAUUUCAAAUGGAUAGAGAGAGAGAGACGCGUUUCAGAUGGAGAGAGAGACCAUUCAGCUCGGUGCCAUCAGCAAAGUAUUUGUGGGUCAUUUCGGGCUGAAGAAUGGCUACCUCAAGGAGAUGAGGAGGGGAAGGUAGUAAGUGGGGAGGAGGGGGGUUUUGGAGAGGAGGCUGUGAUGGAGGUGAUGAAGGGGCUCGAGGCCGAGAUAACCGGAAGUGGCUCUUCUUCCUCUUCCUGUGACGCUUACACCAGUGGAAAUCAUGAGACGUUCUGCCCGUCCUUCUCUGACUCAAAGACCACAGUCAUGGCCAGCAUCGACAUGGCCGGGGUGGUUUUUAAGAUGCCGAGUUCCAGCGAAACCGAGCACUCAGGCAGCCAGAUCCCCGCAGCAACCGAGCCGAGCUGCUCCUCAAUUGAAGAUGCAGAAGAUUCAUCGUGGUGGUUGGGGAUGAAGAGGGUAGGGAAUUUCUCUUUGAUGACUCUAUUUGCCUCAAAGGAACUCAGGAACUUCUUUUCUGUAUCUCUUUUUCUCUUCCUGUUUCUUCUAAGCCCAUUGUCCUUUCAUUACCUGCACCUGUUUUUCACACUUUCUGUUGGAGAUGGCUUUGUCCAAUUCCACUCUAUAUCUUUUGCCAAGGUUUCUCUCUCUAAAGCUGCAAAUGGGUUUUUUCCCUCUAAAAGCUCAAAUUGUGUUUCUUCCCUCUAAAGCUGAAAAUUGUGUUUCCUCUAAUGUAGUUUCUAAUGUACGGAUUUUUAUUGAAAAGGCAUACCGAUUUUUAGGGUAAUUUACUGAAAUUUAGUAACUUCAGUACAACAAAAUCUAAGUUUUAGUACUUUUAUUUGGAAAAUCAGAAUUUAAAAAAACCCCAAUAGCAUUUUUUACCUUCAAUUUAACGGUUUUUUUUUUUUUUUUCCAAAACAAACUUUUUAUGCAAAUACCUUCAAAAAAUAAAAAUUUAUUUUGUUAAACAGAAAUGCCCUUCCCAUACACAACAAUCAUUUUGCUGACUUUUGGACCAAUAACACAUUGUUGGAGUGCACCAUCACAUUGUUAGAGAGCAUAAGUGCCGAAUUACCCUAAGACAACUAUCGAAUUGAAAUUGAGUACUACGGGAUCAUGCUUUGCAUAAUACCGGAGCUUUGAAAUCCAAUAACAUAUACUGUCAGACCACCCUAUGCAACUGUUAGACUACAGUACAUAGUGUCGGAGCCUUGAAAUCGAGUAACAGUUAUGGUCGGAGUGUAAUUUGCAAGCCAACGUUAGGUUGCUUUACACAUUGUUGAAGCACUACUACCGGAUUGUCUGACUUAUAUUGUAUCGGAGCCUUUAUUUUAGUGGGAUAGAGGAAUGAACAAGGUAAGGUAAAAGUAAGGAAUGGUAGUUUAAGUAUUUUUUUAUUACGAUAAGGUAAAGGAAGGAAGGGUAAUUUAAGUAUUUUUUUAUUUUUUAUUUGGUUGGGGUAUUUUGCUUACAAAAAUAUAUUUUGGAAAAAAAAGUGAGAGAGAAAAUUAGGCCGGGAUAAGGUAAAGGAAGGAAGGGUAAUUUAAGUAUUUUUUUAUUUUUUAUUUGGUUGGGGUAUGUUGCUUACAAAAAUGUAUUUUGGAAAAAAAAGUGAGAGAAAAAAUUAAGCCGGGUAAAUUGUAUGGAAAGUGUACUCUUUGUUAUUUAUAUUUUUUUUAUUUUUGGAAUUUUUCCUUAAUUUAAACUUUAAUUUUACUGAAAACUCGGUAUAUUGAUUCUUAGGAAUGUUUAACGUCAGAUUCAGCGUCUCGCUCGGCCCCUGGCAAAGUGGCCUUCUUAAAAUCAAAACAAACUAAAUCAAGGUUUUAUCUCAGUAGGUUGUUCUACUGUCUUCCCUCUCUAGACUCUGGACUUCUUACACUUUGUCUCUCUACUGGCAUUUCUUCUCUCUUUACUGAUUUCUCUAUCCACUAUUCUGUCGUUCUCUCUUCCCUUCUCUCUCUAUUCUCGUCUCUACCGCACCUUUUCUUUCCCUCUCUACACUUUUUCACUCACUCAACUAAUCUCUCCCUACCGCUCUUUCACACUCUCUCUAUUGUUUUCUCACUCUGCCCACUGUGUUCUCUCACUACCAAUUGUUUUCUCUCUCUAACUGCUGUUCUCUCACUCUAGUAGCUGUUUUCUCUCACUAGCCACUGUUUUAUCUCAUUAACUGCUGUUUUCUCUCUCUAGCUAUUGUUUUCGCACUAUACCCUCUUCACUUGUAUGCUCUUUUUUUUUUCUCUCCUUCCUUAUCUUAUUGUAAUAGCAGCCUGGUUAGGGGCAUGUGCUUAUAUUCAUUAAAAUUUUGUUUAACUAUUGAAAAGGAAAAUUCUAUGCUGAUGAACUUUUAUUGUUUGUCGAAGAAAUGUGAGAAUACCAUGCA
Amborella trichopoda is the source of this 2756-nucleotide long non-coding RNA. RefSeq lists it as uncharacterized. Lineage: Eukaryota; Viridiplantae; Streptophyta; Magnoliopsida; Amborellales; Amborellaceae. The record is from RefSeq and is a predicted model, not a curated record.